UGUUGGUGGUCUUUGUGUAUGCUUGCGUGAUUAUUUUGUGUUUGUAUGUAGGUAUUGUUGAUACACCAUGGUCCAACUAUCAAGAUCACCAUUUGCUGGUUUCUCUAUAAUUCUUAUUGUUGUUCUUUGCUUUUGCAUUGUUGGUUUUCAUGUUGGUGGUCUUUGUGUAUGCUUGCGUGAUUAGUUUGUGUUUCGUAUGUAGGUAUUGUCGAUACACCAUGGUCCAACUAUCAACAUCACCAUUUGCUGGUUUCUCUAUAGUUCUUAUUGUUGUCCUUUGCUUUUGCAUUGUUGGUUUUCAUGUUGGUGGUCUUUGUGUAUGCUUGCGUGAUUAGUUUGUGUUUCGUAUGUAGGUAUUGUUGAUACACCAUGGUCCAACUAUCAACAUCACCAUUUGCUGGUUUCUCUUUAAUUCUUAUUGUUGUCCUUUGCUUUUGCAUUAUUGGUUUUCAUGUUGGUGGAUCUUCAACUUUUCUUUCUUGCCGCUAUUUUUUCCUUCCAUUGAUUUCUCAACUUUCUUUGUGUAUGUUUGUGUGAUUGGUUUGUGUUUCGUAUGUAGGUAUUGUUGAUACACCAUGAUCCAACUAUCAAGAUCACCAUUUGCUGGUUUCUCUAUAAUUCUUAUUGUUGUCCUUUGCUUUUGCAUUAAUGUUUUUUAGUAGUCACGGGUUCAUUUAUGUUGCCUCUGCUGAAUGAUGUACAUUCUGUAGGUCCCUUGUGUUGGACAUCGGUACCUGCUGUUAUGGAGUACCUGUGUUUUCUAUUCGAGAUUUCUUUUCUUUCAUAUUAUUAUUUUUUCUCUUUAACAUAUAUGCAACGAUAAUUUUUCAUUCCACAGGUUUUGACUGAGCUGAGGAUGAUUGCUAGUGAAUCAUUGGCACUUGUAUCUUUGACCGUAACACUAUCUUGUUUAUUGUCUCAACUACAAUUGUGUGUGAACUUGCAUGAUGUGAUUGUAUUUUGUUUGUAGGCUUGUUUGGUGUCGAGAUCGGUCUGAUCAUUAAGAUCACCAUGUGCAAGGUUUCUUGCAUGGUUCUUAUGAUCGGUUUUAUUUUGUUUAACGUCAUUCGUUUUUUUUGCCUGUCAAGCUAUUUGAUACGACAGAUCAAUAUGGUUAUCGGUUGAAGAUGUGAGAUUUAGAGUAAUUACUGUACAAGCAGUUGAUGACAACGGAUUUCAGGUUCAUCUUAUAUCUUCAUCUUCGAUGAUAACUAUAUUAGAUUAUGACAAAUCUAUCAGGUUAUUGGUUCGUUAGUGCUUGGAGUUGUAAGGAUUCCAGGUUCUUCUUGUAUCUUCUACCUUUGUUUAUAAUACGAUUUCGAUAAGCUAUUUAUUAGAGCAGAUGAAGUGGGUUAUUGGCCCGUAGGUGGGAGAAACUAUGACGAGGUUAUGUUCCAUUCUCGAUAAGUUCAGGUUCUUCAGUAACUUCUUUUUGGUAAUAGCUUAGUAACUGUCAGGGUUACGUUCCUGUUGGUGCGAGAACUUGUGGCCGGGUAUCUCAUUGCAGGUACUCAUUAUGAGGUGAUUUGGUGAUGAAUUUCAGUUGUAAAUCCUGGAAUCUUCUACCUUUGUUUAUAAUACGAUUUCGAUAAGCUAUUUAUUAGAGCAGAUGAAGUGGGUUAUUGGCCUGUAGGUGGGAGAAACUAUGACGAGGUUAUGUUCCGUUCUCGAUAAGUUCAGGUUCUUCAGUAACUUCUUAUUGGUAAUAGCUUAGUAACUGUCAGGGUUACGUUCCUGUUGGUGCGAGAACUUGUGGCCGGGUAUCUCAUUGCAGGUACUCAUUAUGAGGUGAUUUGGUGAUGAAUUUCAGUUGUAAAGCUAUCUGUUACGGCAGAACGACAGGUUCCCGGUUAUGCUUUUGAUAUGUUAGCAUCAAGAUUGUUUUUACAAGAUGACCAAGGGCAUGUAUUUUUGGCUGCUUGCAGUGGGAUCCGGUUAUACUGGUCAUUGUGGGUUUUCUUCAUUGGAGUAAUACUUGAAUGUUGGUUGCCUUUUCUCUUAUUCAAUUUGUUUGGCAUUACAAUGAGGUGCAGUUGGUAAUUUUGUGUGUGUUAUAGUGGGCAUCGCGAUUAGUUCUGUGUCCUACUACAGGUGCCGUGACAGUCGAGGCGUUUUCUUGAUUCAUAGCUCCUGUAAAAAAACUUUAGCCGAGGGAUGAAGAAGAGAUCUUUAAAUGAAACUAGGCCUAUUGGUAGUUGAGAGACAGCUGGCUGUUGGUUCAUCAUUUCUUAGCAAUUAGAUCGUUAUAUCUGAUCUUGUCUGCUCUUGCUACCUUGGUUACUUUUAACUUUUGCCUGCCUUGUGAGGCUUAUGGAUUUAGUAGUAUUGCUUAUGUGUUGAUAGCUGCGGCAUUUUGUGGGUUUCGUUGUGCUUGCAUGAUCAUUUAUGAGGUUAGUCAUUGUUUUUAUUGUAGAACUAAAUUUGGGGAGAGGUGUGUUGAUCAUUGUCCUUGAUACUGUGUAGGGUUCUCAUUCAUUUGGUGACGAUCUUAUCUACAGCUGUUUGUCGCUUUCGUUUUACCUCUUAAGGUUGUGACCAAAUAGAGAGGUUGCAUGUUGAUUCAGGACACUGGUGGUUGGAUCCGUGCCCUUGUUCUUUCGGUGAAAAACGAUGCCUCAAAUGGUUUUACUUUGGGUAAAUGGUCUCAAAUUCUUCAAAUUUGAAGUUAAUGGUUUUGUCAAAAAGGUGUUUCUUAUACUGCAUCAGAUGAUGACAGUUUCAAAGCUGUUAUUUGGGUUGUGGUAGAAUUGAUGUCUAUUUCUAUGGCCGGUUACGUAUUUUUCACAAAUAAGUUCCAUAUUCAGUUCGGAUAUUAGAGGCCAGAUCUCUAUCCCAACGGUUUUCAGGAUCUUCUUUGUAACUUGGACACGGGUCUCUUUUGUAUCUUAUUGUGUGUUGAUCUGUUACCGCAUGAGCAAUGAGUUUGAGUUGAAAGCUGUUUGUUAUAUCACCUACUGAGAUUCCGGUUUAAAAGUUGCUUUUGUGAGGCCAAUAUUUAUGUCCACACCUGUUUGUCUUCAGGUUCUGUUAUCUCGGAUAAACUGUUCUCAGGUUGUUUUUCUAGUAUCUUGUGUAUGGUAAUAGUGAAACUUGAAAGCUCUUCAUUACGACAUAACUUAGUUUUUUCGGUCGUGGAUUAUUGAGGUCAUGCUAAAUGGUUCCAGGCUCUUCUUGUGGCAUCUUCUAUUAGGUAAUUAGGUGAUAAGGAUCAAUAGGGUUAUGUGCUCAUAGAUGCGAGAAAUUAUGAUCAGAUAUCAUCAUUCAAGUGGUUCAUGUCUGCAGAUUUCAGGUUCUACUGGUAUUUUCUAUCGUCAGGGAUUUUGUUUUAUUUGUGAACUUAUUUGUUAUGGCAGAUCCAUCAGGAUACCGGUUUAUAGUUGUGUGAAAUUAUGAGUAGCUUGCUCCUGAAGGAGAUCUUUGUAACAGAUUCAGGUUCUUCUUGUAUUUUUUUUCUUUGUUUUAUUUGAAAGCUAUUCGUUAUUGCAUAUUAAUCUGGUUAUUGGUCCGUGGUGGGAGUAUCUGUGACUAGAUAUUAUUUUUCAAGGAGUUCCUGAUGAAUGAUCCCACAUUCAUCUGGUUCUUUACCCAAUAAUAAUUUGUUUUGAUUGCAAAGCUAUUCGUUUUGGGAGAACAGUCGCGUCACUGGUGUUGGAGCUGCAAGAAGUUAGGACGGGUGAUGUCAAUCAAGGAUUUCGUGAUGAUGCAUCGUUAUUUGCAAAAUGGCAGAGUUGGUGGUUAUUUUAUUUCAUACAUUGUCUAAAAAAACUGUUGGGCUUGAAGAACUCACAACCAGGUUCUUGUAUCUACAGCUUUUUGCAGUACAGUCAGGUGGUUCUGGUCCCUGUGGUAUCUUCAUAGGUUGGAAGUGUUACUUGGUAGUUGGUUGCUCUUUUUCAUUACCUUUUGUACAUUGUUUUUUGUAUCACAUUUAAGGAUGAUUAGAUCAUUUCUCGUGUGUUUCUAGGGUUUUGUUGGUUGUUGAGGGACAGUUGGCCAUCAGUUCAUCAUUUCAUAGCAAUUGGAUGGUUAUAUCUGAUGUGAUUUUUUCUGACUUUAGGUCAUUUUCUCCUUAUCUCCAUUAUGGUUCUUGCCUGAUUAUUUAUCAAGUUGCUUGUUUGUUUGUAGGUCUAAGUUUGUGAUGAAUGGCUACUGGGUUCAUCAUCACGAUUCCUAUUGCCAAUUUCUGUGGGUUGUGGUUAUAUUAAUUUUGAUUUUUUCAACUUAGAUGCUGGUGGGAAGGGUUAUGCUUGUUUUCUUUGUUGAUAGGUACUAGGAAGCUUCUGACUGAUGAUGAUGGUCUUUUGUAUGCUGUGUAGCAUUCUCCUGAUCCCACAUCCAUCUGUUGCCAUUCACCUCUCUAAGUUGUGGCCAAGUAGAGAGGUUGCAUAUUGAUUUAAGAAGGGAUGUGUUAUUGGAUCUGUAUUGUUAUAGCUUUCUUUGCCCCUGUUUUGACCAUUCUUUGAUAUCUAAAAUUUUCUCGUGCGUAAGCUUUCAUGAUUAGUUUGCGUCUUGUAUGUAGGUUUUGUUGAUACCAAACGUGGUUCAAAUAUCAAGAUCAUCGUUCUGGUUUUUCUAUAUUUUUUUAUGAUUCUUUUGUUUUAGCAUUAUGGAUUUUCCUUGUUGCCUUGGGCUCAUCUGUGUUUCCCUUGCUGUAUGAUGCACAUUCUGUAGGUCUUCUUUGGUGGACAUGGUCAUGGUUCGCCGUAGAGUGCAUGUGUCAGCUGUUGAAGAUGUUUUGGUCUAUCUGUUUCUAUGAAUACUACUAUCCUAUCAUUUUCUCUCAUUUCGUCCUUGGGUGUUUUUGUUACUUCUAUAUCAUUUUUCUUCUAGGGUAAAUGAGAAGGGUAGUUGUUUUUCUGCAGGUUCUGAACUAAGUGAAGAAGAUAGCUAGCAAAUCAUUGGCACUUGUAUUUUCUUCUUUGGCACUAUUCUUUUUAAUCUCUCAUUUCUGAAUUGCCAUUGUAUGUAAGCUUGCAUGAUGAGAUUGUGCUUUGUCUGUAGGUUCGUUUGGUGCCAAACACCGUGGUUCAAUUGUUGCAGUCAUGAUGUGUGCUGGUUUUAUAUAAUCCUUGUGAUGGCAUUUUGAUUUCUACAUCUUCCUUCAUCUUAAAGACCUCUUUUGCUUAUUUGCUAAUAGGCCUACAAGAGCACAUUCAGGUCAACUGGACCAUUGUCCUUCCUGGUUUGGCUGGUUUGUUGCUGUCUGUGGUUGUGGUUCUGUGAAUCCUGUGGACGUUUAUGAAAAAUGGAAGUAGAAGCAUCAUUUCAGACUUCUAGUUUUAUGUGAUACUCUGGGAUGAAAGACAGGAAGAUGAACUAUAUAUGAUCUUUUAAUUAUUUUUAUCUUGGCAAAAUUUGAAGCAUUUAGCUUUAUCAGAUUCAGUACUCAUUGAUUUACUCUGCUCUAUGGUCUUCUUUUUGUUCUCCAUGUUGCAUGUAGAAGGCCGUCUUCCUCGAUGGCAUGCCAGUUACUAUAGCUCGCUAUGGAGUCCUUUCUGGCUUGGCAACGGAUGUCUGGUCCAUCUCUUUAUGUGAAAUUUACCUUCCUUUCAUUUAUAUCUGCUUUUUUUUUCCUUCCCUUUUUCUGUGUCAGAGAUGAAGGAUACACUACUCUCACCACAGGUUCAGAUUAGAGAAUGAAUGGAUCGUUGUUCUUGCUGGUGGAUCUUCAGUACCUAUGUUUUCUUCCUUGCCACCAUUUUUUCUGUCCUUUGAUUUCUCAAAUUUCUGUAUGUGGGUCAUUAGUUCGUGUUUUGUAUGUAGGUCUUGUUGAUACCAAUCACCAUAUGGUCCAACGAUCAAGAUCACCAUGUGCUGGUUUUUCUAUAAUUCUUAUUAUGGUUCUCUGCUUUUGCAUUAUUGGUUUUUCUUGUAGUUGCCUUGGAUUGAUUUAUGUUCCCCUUGCUGAAUGAUGCACAUUGUCUAGGUCUUCUUCGGUUGGGUAUUGGUACAUGCUAUUAUGGUUCGCUUUGGGGGUACUUGUGUUAGCUAUUGGAGAUCACUUCAUCAAUCUGUGUCUGAAUUCUACUUUCCUAUAAUUUCUUUUGAUUCCCUGUCCUGUUGUUUUUGGCGGUUUUUGUUAUUCUUACAUCAAUUUCUUAUUUUUUUUUCAUAUAUUAAUAUUAAAUGUGCAAGGAUGAUUCUUUUUUCCACAGGUUGUGUCCUAGCUGAAGAUCACCAGUGAAUCAUUGACAGUUGUAUUCUUGACCUCAACACUGGUCUGAUUAUUCUUCUCUUUCUGAUUGCCAUUGUGUGAGAAUUUGCGUGAUGUGAUUGUAUUUUUCUUUCUAUCCUUGAAUCAUUUUUUUCUGGGCUUUGUUUAUGGUCCUUGCCUGAUUAUUCAUCAAGUUACUUGUUUGUUUGUAGGUCUAAAUUCGUGCUAAAUGGCUAUGAUCAUCACAAUUUCUAUCUGAAUGGCUAUGAUCAUCACAAUUUCUAUCUGUAGGCUUGCCGAUAUUUGUUGUAUUGAUUUGGAUUCUCUCAACUUAGAUGCUGGUGGGGUCGAGGGUUAUGCUUGUUUUCUGUUGAUAGGUGCUAGAAAGCUUCUGAUCAGUGAUGAUUGUCCCUUGUAUGCUGUCUAGCACUCUCCUAAUUCAGUUGGUGAUGCUAUCCUAACCACAACCUUCUGUUGCUCCCAUUUCACCCCUUGAAGUCAUGUGGCCAAGUAGAGAGAUUGCAUAUUGAUUCAGGAAACGAUGAGUUACUGGGCCCGUAUUGUUUUUGUUUUCUUUCUUGCCCCUGUUUUGUCCCAUUAUUUGAAAGUAAUUAAUAAUUACCCUUUAAAAAGCACCUUAUGAUUUCUUAAUAUAUUACCAUAUAAAAUAUAUGUAGGUUUUGUUGAUACCAAACAUGAUAUUUAUAUAUGAAGGUCAUCAUUCUGGUUUUUCUAUGUUUCUUAUGAUCAUCUUCUGUCUUAGAAUUGUUGGUUUUUUCUUGUGGUUCGCAGGGGGCCGUCUAUGUUCCCCUUGCUGUAUGAUGCAUAUUCUGUUGGGCACGGGCACGGGCACCUACCAAUAUGGUUUGCCGUGGUGUUAGCUAUUGAAGAUGCUGUGGUCUAUAUGUUCCUGUGAAUUCUACUAUCCUCUCAUUUUAUUUCAUUUCGUCCUUCAUUGUUUUUUUGUUACUCCCGUAUAUGUCUUCUUCUUGGUGAGGUAAUCGUUUUUCUGCAGGUUCCGAGUGAACUGAAGAAGGCCGCUAGUGGAUCAUUGGCACUUGUGUUGUCUUCCCUGUUUUUUUCAUUCUCUCAUUUCUGAAUUGCUAUCGUGUAUAAAAGCUUGCAUGAUGAGAUUGUGCUUUUUGUUGGUUUGUUUGGAAUCAAACACAGUGGUCCAAGAUUGAAGUCACCAUGUGUGCUGUUCUAAUAUAAUUCUUAUGAUCGCCUUUUGCUUUAGCAUCAUCUUCUUUACAUUUUUCCAUCAUCCUGAGACCUCCUUUUGUUAAUUUGCUAAUAGGUCUGUCUACCAAAUUGCACACGUCAAUUUCACCAUGGUCGUUUCUGGUUUGUUGCUCUCUAUGGUUGUGGUUCUGUAAAUGCUGUCAACGUAGAUGAAAAAUAGAAGCAGCAUCAUUUCAGUUUCAUGUGAUACCAUGGGGUAGAAGAUAAAAGAUGUUCUAUAACUGAUAAUCUUCUCUUUGUUUUUAUCUUAGGGAAGCAUUUAGCUUUAUUAGAUUCAUUACUCAUCAAUUUACCCUGCUCUAAUUUUUUUUUUCUUCCAUUUCCUAUGUUGCAUAUAGUAGGUCGUCUUCCUCGAUGGCACAUGCGUAACCGAGUAUUAUAGCUAGCUAUGUAGCCGUUGUGGCUUGGUAGUGGAUGUCUUGGUCCAUCUCUUUAUGUGAAAUCUACCUUCCUUGUAUGUAGGUUUUGUUGAUAACCGAACAUCGUGUUCAGAUAUCAAGAUCACCAUUCUGGUUUUCCUAUAUUUCUUAUGAUCAUCUUCUUAUAGUCGUCUUCUGUUUUAGCGUCGUUGGUUUUUCCUUGUAGUCGCCUCAUCUACCCCCUUGCUGUAUGAUGCACAUGCUGUAGGUCUUCUUCGGUGGGCAUGGGCACUCGCUUACAUGGUAUGCAUGGAGUACACGUGUUGGCUAUUGAAGAUAUAUUGGCCCAUCUGUUUCUGUGGAUUCUACUAGGCUCUUAUUUUCUCAUAUUUCGUCCUUGGUUGUUUUUGUUAUUUUUACUUUGUUUAUUUUUUUAUUUCUUGGGAAAUGGAAUGUACAAGGGUAAUUGUUAUUCCACAGGUUCUGAGCUGAACUGAAGAAGACGGCUAGUCAAUCAUUGUCACUUGUAUUUUCCUCCCUGACUAUUCUUUUUGUUCUCUCAUUUCUCAGUUGCAAGUGUGUGUAAGCUUGCAUGAUGAGAUUGUGGUUUGACUGUAGGUUUGGUUGGUGCCAAACAGAGAGGUCCACUGAGGUCACCAUGUGCUGGUUUUGUAUAGUUCUUGUGAUCGCCUUUUGAUCAAGUAUUAUCUCUUUUCCAUCUUUUCGUUAUCUUGAGAUCUUUUUGCCUAUUUGCUAAUAGGUCUAUUGAAGUGUUCGCGUCGAUGAAUCAUUGUCUUUCCUGUUUUGUUGCUAUCUGUGGUUCGGUGGAUCCUGUGGACGUUUUGUGAAAUUAGAAGUAGAUUUCUGUUUUGUGUUACCCUGGGGUAUAAGAUGAAAGAUGUUAUGUUAACCGAUAUUCUUUUAUUUAUUUUAAUCAUAGCAAAAUUUGAAGCAUCCCAACUAACUUUUCUUCCAUUUUGGGGGUGAUCUGCACGUAAUGUAGACAUAUGUGCUGUAUUUAUUAUGGUUUUGCCUUCAUUUUCGUUGAUGGCAUUAGAUUAAUUGCUCAUUAAUUUAGCCUGCUUUUAUAGUUUCUUUUUUGUUCCCCAUGUCGCAUAUAGCGGGUCGUCUUCCUCAAUGGCACAUGCAUACCAACUCUCUUUGGGCCGUCGUGUCUUGGCAGCGGAUGUCUUGGUCCAUCCCCUUAUGUGAAAUCUAUCUUUAUCUCGUUAUAUCUGCCUUCCUUCUUCCUUCCUUUUUCUCUGUGGCAUGUGACACAAGGAUACACUUCUUUCGCCACAGGUUCAGACAACUGAGGAUGAUUGGAUCGUUGUGUUUCGACGGAAUCAUGAGCACCUAUGUUCUCUUCUUUGCCUCUAUUUUUGUCCGUUCUUUGAGUUCUCAAUUUUCUUUGUGUAAAUUUUUGCGUGUUAGGUUUGUGUAAAGUUGUAUUUUGUAUGUAGGUCUUGUUGAUACUAAACAUCAUAAUUUUCUUUGUGUAAAUUUUUGCAUGUUGGGUUUGUGUAAAGUUGUAUUUUGUAUGUAGGUCUUGUUGAUACUAAACAUCAUGGUCCAACUCUCAGGUCUCUUGGUUGGACAUUGGUACCUGCUAUUAUGGUUGGGUAUGGAGUACUCAUUUUAUCUAACGGAGAUGUCUUGGUAAAAUCUGUUUGUGUGAAUCUUACCAUCCCAUCAUUUUUUCUAAUUUCGUAUCAUGUUUUUCUUACUUGUUUUUUAGUACUCUUACCUCAUUUUCUUUUCUUUAUAAUUGUUCUUAAACGUAUAUAAAAUGUGCAAGGAUAAUUCUUUUUUUCCACAGGUUCUGACUCAGCUGAAGAUGAUUGCUAGUGAAUCAUCAACACUUGUAUUUUUGCCCCCACACUGGUCUGUUUAUUCUGUUCUUUCUGAAUUUCCAUUGUGUGUGAAGUUGCAUGAUGUGAUUGUACUUCAUCUGUAGGUUGGUUGGUCACUUGGUUGUCAAACGAUGUGGUCUGAUUAUCGAGAUCACUAUGUGCCCGGUUGUUGUGUGGUUUUUAUGAUGGUUAGCAUUAUUUGUUUUUUGUCUUCCCAUCAUCUUCAGAAUAUCAUCUCGAAUCUUCUCUUGCUAACAGGUCUAUCAAAGCGUUUGGGUAUUGGACCUUUUUCUUUCCUGUGUUCUUAUCUUUGGUUGUUCUGUGAACCCUGUCGACGUUCGGGAAUGGAAUUUGAAGUUUCAUUUCAGUUUUGCGUGAUGGCUAGUGGUAUCUUCAUCUUUUAUGACCAAUGCUCUUUUAUUUAUUUCUAUCAUGGCUAAAUAUGAAGCAAUGACCGAGAACUGAUUUCUUCCUUUUUGGGGUGAUAUACGGAUAGUGUGGACGUAUUUAUUCUUGUUAUCCCUUCGUUUUCCAGCAUUUGUUUGAAAGGAUUGAGAAAUCAUAGAGGGAAUUACUGAUUUACUGUUUAGUUUGGAUUAAUUACUCGUUAAUUUGGAGGUAUCUGUCUGCUUUCAUGGUUUUUUGGCUAUGUAUACAGUAAACUCGGUUCUUCGGUCUGGCUAUGUUCCAUGUGUUGCACAUUGUAGGUCAUCUUCCCCAAUGACACGUGAGUAACCUGAUAAUAUAGUUGGCCGUGGAGUACCUGUGGCAGUGGAUGUCCUGGUUCAUCUCUUUCGGUGACUUACCUUUCUCUUGUUUAUAUCUCAUUCACAUCACUCUAGUGGGCAUUUCUCACCAUCGUUUAUAUCUGCUUUGCUUUCUUUUUACUGGCCUUUUUCUGUGUCUGAGAGAUGCCACCACAGGUUCAGACAAAAUUGAAAACGAUUGGAUUGUUGUGCCUGCGGAUUGUCAGCAAUCUGUGUUUCUUUCUUUAGCAUUAUUUUGUCCAUUUUCUGAUUUCUCUAUUUUUUGUGUAAAAGCUUGUGCGGCUAGAUUGCGUUUUGUAUGUUGGUUUUGUUGACACCCAAUGCCGUGGUUCAACUGUCAAGAUCACCCACCUUCCGGUUUUCUGUAACUUAUACGAUUGUCUUUUGUUAUAGUAUUAUUGGUUUUCUCUUGUAGUUAGUUGCCUUGGCUCACCCUUGCUAUAUGGUACGCAUUCUGUAGGUCUUCUUGUGUUGGCUAUGGAGUACUUGUGUUAGCUACUGAAGAUGUCUUGGUCAAUCUGUUUCUGCAACAUCUAUGUUCUUGUUUUGUUCU
Long non-coding RNA from Cynara cardunculus var. scolymus (artichoke), 10928 nucleotides. RefSeq lists it as uncharacterized. The transcript has 2 exons. The record is from RefSeq and is a predicted model, not a curated record. Lineage: Eukaryota; Viridiplantae; Streptophyta; Magnoliopsida; Asterales; Asteraceae.